Molecule: ribosomal RNA, 803 nt
Filed under: uncultured bacterium
Lineage: Bacteria
Description: bacterial SSU rRNA
Rfam family: Bacterial small subunit ribosomal RNA
Source: RNAcentral
GAAUUCGCCCUUAGAGUUUGAUCCUGGCUCAGGACGAACGCUGGCGGCGCGCCUAACACAUGCAAGUCGAACGGUGAAGAGGAGCUUGCUCCUCGGAUCAGUGGCGGACGGGUGAGUAACACGUGAGCAACCUGGCUCUAAGAGGGGGACAACAGUUGGAAACGACUGCUAAUACCGCAUAACGUAUCGGGAUGGCAUCUUUCUGAUACCAAAGAUUUUAUCGCUUAGAGAUGGGCUCGCGUCCGAUUAGUUAGUUGGUGAGGUAACGGCUCACCAAGACCGCGAUCGGUAGCCGGACUGAGAGGUUGAACGGCCACAUUGGGACUGAGACACGGCCCAGACUCCUACGGGAGGCAGCAGUGGGGGAUAUUGCGCAAUGGGGGCAACCCUGACGCAGCAACGCCGCGUGAAGGAUGAAGGUUUUCGGAUUGUAAACUUCUUUUAUUAAGGACGAAAAUUGACGGUACUUAAUGAAUAAGCUCCGGCUAACUACGUGCCAGCAGCCGCGGUAAUACGUAGGGAGCAAGCGUUGUCCGGAUUUACUGGGUGUAAAGGGUGCGUAGGCGGCUUUGCAAGUCAGAUGUGAAAUCUAUGGGCUCAACCCAUAAACUGCAUUUGAAACUGUAGAGCUUGAGUGAAGUAGAGGCAGGCGGAAUUCCCCGUGUAGCGGUGAAAUGCGUAGAGAUGGGGAGGAACACCAGUGGCGAAGGCGGCCUGCUGGGCUUUAACUGACGCUGAGGCACGAAAGCGUGGGUAGCAAACAGGAUUAGAUACCCUGGUAGUCCACGCCGUAAACGAUGAAU